Molecule: ribosomal RNA, 404 nt
Filed under: Fusobacteriota bacterium
Lineage: Bacteria; Fusobacteriati; Fusobacteriota
Description: Fusobacteria bacterium partial 16S ribosomal RNA
Rfam family: Bacterial small subunit ribosomal RNA
Source: RNAcentral
UGGGGAAUAUUGCACAAUGGAGGGAACUCUGAUGCAGCGACGCCGCGUGAGUGAUGAAGGAAUUCGUUUCGUAAAACUCUGUUCUAUGGGAAGAAAAGGACUGUACCAUAGGAGAAAGCUCCGGCUAAAUACGUGCCAGCAGCCGCGGUAAUACGUAUGGAGCGAGCGUUGUCCGGAAUUAUUGGGCGUAAAGGGUGCGCAGGCGGCUUUACAAGUUGGAUGUGAAAUAUUGUGGCUCAACCACAAACGUGCAUCCAAAACUGCAAAGCUUGAGUUAAGGGGAGAUAAGUGGAAUUCCUGGUGUAGCGGUGGAAUGCGUAGAUAUCAGGAGGAAUACCGGUGGCGAAGGCGACUUACUGGACUUAAACUAUCGCUCAGGCACGAAAGCGUGGGGAGCAAACAGG